Molecule: ribosomal RNA, 465 nt
Filed under: Vreelandella stevensii
Lineage: Bacteria; Pseudomonadati; Pseudomonadota; Gammaproteobacteria; Oceanospirillales; Halomonadaceae
Description: partial 16S ribosomal RNA
Rfam family: Bacterial small subunit ribosomal RNA
Source: RNAcentral
CCUACGGGUGGCUGCAGUGGGGAAUAUUGGACAAUGGGGGCAACCCUGAUCCAGCCAUGCCGCGUGUGUGAAGAAGGCCCUCGGGUUGUAAAGCACUUUCAGUGAGGAAGAACGCCUGGUGGUUAAUACCCAUCAGGAAAGACAUCACUCACAGAAGAAGCACCGGCUAACUCCGUGCCAGCAGCCGCGGUAAUACGGAGGGUGCGAGCGUUAAUCGGAAUUACUGGGCGUAAAGCGCGCGUAGGUGGCUUGAUAAGCCGGUUGUGAAAGCCCCGGGCUAAACCUGGGAACGGCAUCCGGAACUGUCAAGCUAGAGUGCAGGAGAGGAAGGUAGAAUUCCCGGUGUAGCGGUGAAAUGCGUAGAGAUCGGGAGGAAUACCAGUGGCGAAGGCGGCCUUCUGGACUAACACUGACACUGAGGUGCGAAAGCGUGGGUAGCAAACAGGAUUAGAUACCCGAGUAGUC